Molecule: long non-coding RNA, 346 nt
Organism: Homo sapiens (human)
Lineage: Eukaryota; Metazoa; Chordata; Mammalia; Primates; Hominidae
Source: Ensembl
CCUUCCUGCACUUCACAGGAGGCAACCAUGAGCUCUGUGUCUCAUCUGCACCUGGGCACGUGGUCAUGUUGGAUAACCCACGUGGCAGGAACUAAGGGCACCUCUAGGAGCUGAGGUGGUCUCUGAACAACAGGAAAUUGAAGCCUUCAGUCCAACAACUGCAAAGAACUGAAUCUUGCCCAUAAGAUGAGUGAGCUUGGAAGUGGAUCUUUUCUCUGGUUAAAGCUCAAUGCAAACUUAGCCAGCCAGACACCUGGAUUAGAGCUUGGCUGAGACCCAAGCAGAGGACUCAGUGAAACAUGCCUGUGCUCUAUUUAUUAUGUAAGCAUUAAAAAGCUGAUAAGAA